Molecule: long non-coding RNA, 1076 nt
Organism: Gallus gallus (chicken)
Lineage: Eukaryota; Metazoa; Chordata; Aves; Galliformes; Phasianidae
Source: Ensembl
CACCAAGCUUAUCUUCCAGGUUUUAUGUACAAUUAUAGUGUGAUAGAAGUCAGUAAAAAUCUCCUUCAUAGUUGGAGAUCUUAAGAGAUUUUCUGGUAAUGUGUUAGAAGUAGUGAUAAGCAAGGCAUGCUGUCAGUACCUGAAAAAAUAUCUUUUCUACUAUGUUUCAGAGUGGCCCAUAGUAGUUCUUGUUUAACAUCACGUCUAGUGGAUUAUCAACUGCUUUAUAGAAGAGUGAACUGUAUGUGCUUUUUCCACUGGUGGGAAUUCUCAGGGUUCUGCCACUAGCCCAGUGCGGCAUGUAAAUACGAUGAGGAAGAGGCACUUUGUUGCUGUCAAGAAUAGCCUGUGAUGUUGUAUGACUGCUUCAAGUCUUGAUGAUCCAAAGAGAAGAGUGAGUGAAAGAUCUGAGGGGGAAACACAGAGACGUUAAAGGAUAUACAUAACUGAGUGCUGAAAUGCAAAGCACACACUAGCUCAACUCUCCCACUGACUCGUGAAUGUCUUUUGUAACUGUAUGAUUAUUUGUAUUUUUAAGUUUUAUAUAUUUAUACUUGUAUGCUCUUACAUGUAUAUGAAACUUCAGGUUUCCCCUUCCAUCUAUCUUCCCUCCAUAUCUUCCUAUCUUCCCUUCCAUAAUCUCAGUUUCCUGAAACUGAUUACCUGAGAUUUGCAGGGUUGCCCUGGAAGGGGAGGAAAACAAUGGGCAUCAGCUCAAAGGGCAGAAGUGCAGAGGGUGGUUGUGUAUAAGCUGUGAGAGGAAAUGGAAAAGACAAAGACGAGUUUGGACCAAAUCCUUUUGCUGUGAGGAAUGAAUAUGAGCCAAGUUUAAUGACAACAGUAUUUAGUGGAGGAGCACACGUUUUGCUCUUAGGGACAGAGAGAAAUGACUGGAUUUCUCAGAUAUAUAAGAGAAGCAGGAUUUAAUAGCAAUACUGAAGGGAAAAGAAAUGAACAGAGAAGUUUUUAAAAAGCACUGGCUUUGUGGCACUAAUAACUACAGGAGAUGAGAGACCUGCCAGUGGUGACAAACAAAGGAGAGGAUUUAUGUGAAAAAAUGAGUAAGUCAACCUCCA